This 38-nucleotide ribosomal RNA is filed under the name Cladocopium sp. clade C. RNAcentral describes it as "partial 28S ribosomal RNA". Lineage: Eukaryota; Dinophyceae; Suessiales; Symbiodiniaceae. The record is from RNAcentral.
CUAGCAUGAAAUCAGACAAGUGAACCCGCUGAAUUUAA